RNAcentral lists this transfer RNA (72 nucleotides) under Candidatus Tagabacteria bacterium RIFCSPLOWO2_01_FULL_39_11. RNAcentral's name for it is "tRNA-Thr". It matches the Rfam family "tRNA". Rfam says of the family: Transfer RNA (tRNA) molecules are approximately 80 nucleotides in length. Lineage: Bacteria; Candidatus Tagaibacteriota. The record is from RNAcentral.
GCCCGGGUAGUUCAGUGGCAGAACGCCAUCUUGGUAAGAUGGAAGUCGGGAGUUCGAUUCCCCCCCCGGGCU